Molecule: ribosomal RNA, 133 nt
Filed under: Salvator merianae (Argentine black and white tegu)
Lineage: Eukaryota; Metazoa; Chordata; Lepidosauria; Squamata; Teiidae
Source: RNAcentral
ACAGGCAUAAAUUUCUAGGUUACCACUUCAGCAAAGUGACUGCACCUAUUCAGUCCUGAAGAGCUAAGCAGCAUCAAACCUGGUUAGUAACUGGAUGGGUGACCACCAGGAAAUCACAGGGCACUAGCCUGAG